AACGCACAUUGCGCCCCCUGGUAUUCCGGGGGGCAUGCCUGUUCGAGCGUCAUUACAACCCUCAAGCUCUGCUUGGUAUUGGGCUCUGCCGGUCCCGGCAGGCCUUAAAAUCAGUGGCGGUGCCAUUCGGCUUCAAGCGUAGUAAUUCUUCUCGCUUUGGAGGCCCGGGUGCGCGCUAGCCAGCAACCCCCAAUUUUUUCAGGUUGACCUCGGAUCAGGUAGGGAUACCCGCUGAACUUAA
RNAcentral lists this unclassified non-coding RNA (241 nucleotides) under uncultured Pseudeurotium. RNAcentral's name for it is "sequence contains ITS2". The stretch from base 1 to 52 matches the Rfam family "5.8S ribosomal RNA", at positions 103 to 154 of the family's 154-position model. The record is from RNAcentral. Lineage: Eukaryota; Fungi; Ascomycota; Leotiomycetes; Thelebolales; Pseudeurotiaceae.